GGGGGGGUGUGAGAGUGACCGUGCUCUGCGCUACGAGCUCGUAUUUAAAAAAGAAAACAACGAGCAUAAGCCAGCACCGACCUUCCUUUGCUUCACCAAAAGGAACUUCACCUAAAGCUGCUGCAGGCCCUGGAAACCAGGGAUAGAUGGCCUAAAAUACUUUCCAUUUAGAACAUCAUGAGCAAGUACAAUAGCGUAAUGAAACUCAAACUUUCCUCCUCUCUUUAUUACCUUGCACUGUUGCUCCAGCCCCUGGAAAAAUUCUACUCAAGGACUGCAGCAUUCCAAGCUUUACCAAGGGACUGCGUGUGCAGGAAGGCAUGGCCACCCCAGCAGGGCUCACCGGGGCUCUGCUUAGAGCUUUCCGUAUUUUGCAAUCUCAUGGUUAUUUCCUCAGACCAUUUUUGCUUUGCCUGAAAUUCACAAUUUCAAAACCUCUGAGCAGCCCUGGAAUGGGGAGGGGAACCUCCCUCGAUAUUAAGUAAAAAACCAAAAAAAAAACCCCCACAACCAACCAACAAAACCAAACAAAAAUUAGGAUCUGCCAAGAGAUACACAGCCCCAAGCAGAAGUGGGCAUUCCAGCUACUGAACUCAGACCCAGUGUGUGGUGCAGAUGCCAUCUGACUUGCUAGGGGCUACACCAUUGCAAAUAUAAACCAAACAGCAAAAUUCAGACUAUGGGUUUAGUCACAGAAAGGUGCUGGCUUCUCAAAAGCAGAGUUCGAGCAACAGCAUGAAAGAACAAACCCCUUUUCCAUGUGAACCUGGAUAAAGAGCCUGACAGAAGAGGAAUUGUAAACAUGUCACUUCCUACAGAGAUUGAUCACAACCAGGAAUAAUUGAUUCACGCAAGCCCUUAGGAACUAGAAAGGCAUCAAUCUCCUUGCUGCUUCUGUGCUCUGUAUGCUCUGAAACAUGGAGCAGCCGCUGGUGUUGCUGUUUGCACGUGCCAUGGCCGUUGACAACUGCGGUGUUGCUCAAGUUGAGCCUCUCACUUGAGAGCAGCACUUGACCCUGCAGGGAACUGGCUCUUGGAGUUGUGAAUCACAUCUUCUUCACAAGGUUUGGCAAGUACACAGACCAGCCUCAGCUUUUUCAUUUUAAUAGGUACAACCACAGAAAGAGGAACAAUUACCAGAUCUACCUUCGUUGUGAAGAAUAAUCAUAUUCCCCAGAAGAGAAUCCCGAAGUGUUUCUAGAGUUUAUGAUCAGCUACAGCCUGCGCAGUACAGAGGUGGAAUGCUUAAUGUUUUACACCAAGCGCUAAGGCUUACUUACAACUUUAGCAGUGUAAGCUAGUUACCUGAAAAGCAAUUAAAGGUGACAAAUAGUGCGCACAAAUGAGGCAUGAAAAAUGACAGUAAAUUCUUCCAGUUUUUUUGAAACUGUCUUAUAUAAAAUGUCAAUUAGUACAAAUGGAAAAAUAGCAAAAAAGACAAGCUCCACACCAGAACACUGGAACAUUUUAAGAUUAAGGUGACCUCUUUACUGAGAAGGAAACAAAUUUUAUGAUGACAAAGCAACACAGUUCUUUGGUUUUUAUAUACUUGAAUUGAAGAAUAAAACUAGUAUUUCCCUGUGUAUUUU
RNAcentral lists this long non-coding RNA (1589 nucleotides) under Strigops habroptila (Kakapo). RNAcentral describes it as "lncRNA (ENSSHBG00005014802.1)". The record is from RNAcentral. Lineage: Eukaryota; Metazoa; Chordata; Aves; Psittaciformes; Psittacidae.